UUGCCAUAGAAACCCGUGGGUCAGCACACAGACUCAGACAUAGAGAAGCUAACGCUGUAGAGGCGUGUUUCAGUGGUUUUCUUCCUCAAGUCGAGGUGAGUUCAUCAAAGAGCAGAUCUGACUGUCGGAUGCGUUCAACCACGCAACAGGAGGCGUGUCUUUUCAAGCUCUCCCGUCAGGAAAGAAGACGACUGCCUGCCACGGAGUCUGACUCAGAUUUAUCUCCACCAUGACCUCAGAAAGAGUUCCAAACAACCGUCAGGACUGAGGCUGUCUCGCCUGUUUGCACUUGGAGGAAAUGGCCCACGGAAAACCUGUGGCCACUUUUCAAAAUAUUUAACCAGCGGUGGAAUGAGUGAUUGUACCGUUGGGGUUGACGAUUAAAAUGACUCUUCCUUGUGUGACGCUC
This is a long non-coding RNA of Oryzias melastigma (Indian medaka), 409 nucleotides long. RefSeq lists it as uncharacterized. NCBI's taxonomy places the organism in Eukaryota, Metazoa, Chordata, Actinopteri, Beloniformes, Adrianichthyidae. The record is from RefSeq and is a predicted model, not a curated record. The transcript is spliced from 2 exons.